CGUGGGUAACCUGCCCAAGAGAUCGGGAUAACACCUGGAAACAGAUGCUAAUACCGGAUAACAACAGAUGAUGCCUAUCAACUGUUUAAAAGAUGGUUCUGCUAUCACUCUUGGAUGGACCUGCGGUGCAUUAGCUAGUUGGUAGGGUAACGGCCUACCAAGGCGAUAAUGCAUAGCCGAGUUGAGAGACUGAUCGGCCACAUUGGGACUGAGACACGGCCCAAACUCCUACGGGAGGCAGCAGCC
Molecule: ribosomal RNA, 246 nt
Filed under: uncultured Lactobacillus sp.
Lineage: Bacteria; Bacillati; Bacillota; Bacilli; Lactobacillales; Lactobacillaceae
Description: partial 16S ribosomal RNA
Rfam family: Bacterial small subunit ribosomal RNA
Source: RNAcentral